UGAACAUGAUCUGCUCUCUUCAAAGACACGAUGAGCUUCAGUGACUUGGAAGAUACAUCACCCUGGCCAAUUAAUUAGGCAACUUUAAAAAUCCAGCAAGCUAAGUGCAUGUUUAUUUCUUAUUUUUGUUGCAUGGUUGAUCUACAGGUAAGACAAGCUUUCUAAAGUAGGUACAAAUAAACUGUUAAAUGUGUUCUUUCUUCUCUAAAUAAUUUUUGUAUUUUUUUUUUUUUUCUCUAGGAAGUAUCCAAAAUUGGGCAGAAAAGGAAGAGAGUCAUUCCAAACUCUGUAGUAGCUGAACCAUUGUGUAUCUGCAAGGCAGCCUUGAGUAAGUGAGGAGUUACUGCCUCUCAUGGAGGCAAGAUACAGAUGAUCAGCUGCCAGCUGGCCAGUUUAUCUGCAAGUGCUUUGGGAAUAAUACGCAGUUCACUGUCUCAGUAGCCCAACUAACAAGGGGCUCGAAGCGUGGCUCAGAUUAUCUUCUAGACCUGCUCGGUGUUGGCGUACUUCAAGAACAAACAAAUCUGUCCCUGUUCCGUGCAUCACUGUUGCAAAUCUGUUGUCAGAGGUUUGAGAACCAACAGCAAGUGGAAUCAGCUGGAGAUGCUGAGGCAGGAAACUCAGGGUGAGCACCUUCAUCAACAAUUAGCUUAAGUAGUGGCCUGCUUACAGCAGUGACCAGUCCUGCCUCACCAUAAUCUUUCUUCUGGGCUGGUUGAAUCUUUCAUAUUUUCCACUUUCACAUGCAGGACACCUUUCUCUUCUUGCCAUCCUUUUGUUGUAAGUCUCUGUUUCCGUAAGGACUGGCUUCCUAGGGACUUUGUUGCAAUGAGACUUUUUUUUUUGGCUGAAGUUUGAGACCUUAGAGGUUUACAGUUUUCUGUUUUCCUUCACCCAGAAAAAGAAAUAAUAGGAAUUGUAAUAUGAACUGAGAUUCUUAUUUUGCUACAAGGUCCUAGCAGCCACAAUAACUUCUUUGUCUCCCCCUCUGCUCUCCCAGUAAAGCAUUAAAUGACUCAGAAGACCUGAAAACACUUAGAUUAAAAAAAUAAAUAAAUAACUCCACCAUAAAGAUUAAAAUAAAAGAGGUGUUAAGACUUCUGAAAACCAUGGCCUGUAUUUAAGCCUGUCCUGUACUUUCUAGAGCACCUAAGAAAGGAACAAUUCCGUAAAAAUAAUGGAUUAUUAGUGCAUUUAAAAGAAACAAAGCCUGCAGCUUGUCUGUUGCCUAGCAAAGAGUUUUAACAUUAAUUAAAAAACACAUUUAGAGCAGCUGGCAGA
RNAcentral lists this long non-coding RNA (1281 nucleotides) under Cairina moschata (Muscovy duck). Its description in RNAcentral is "domestica (muscovy Duck (domestic type)) lncRNA (ENSCMMG00000003882.1)". The record is from RNAcentral. Lineage: Eukaryota; Metazoa; Chordata; Aves; Anseriformes; Anatidae.